Molecule: ribosomal RNA, 1324 nt
Filed under: Trilepida macrolepis (big-scaled blind snake)
Lineage: Eukaryota; Metazoa; Chordata; Lepidosauria; Squamata; Leptotyphlopidae
Description: partial 16S ribosomal RNA
Rfam family: Bacterial large subunit ribosomal RNA
Source: RNAcentral
GCCUAGAACCUAGUUCCUUUUUAUGCCCGAACAGUAAAAUAAUAAAACCAAAACAUUUGUCACGACUAGUAGAGGAGAUCAAACGUCGAACACGACACGACAGAGACAGUACCGCAAGGGAAAGGUGAAACACACCUCAAGCCCAAAAAAGCAAAGACUAAACCUUGUACCUUUCGCAUCAUGGUUUAGCGAGACAAACCCAAGCAAAAAGAAGACAGCUCGGAACCCCGAAACCAAGUGAGCUACUUCUAAGCAGCUAAACUGAGCACAUCCCCCUCUGUAGCAAAAGAGCGGAAAGACUUAAAAGUAGAGGUGAAAAGCCUACCGAACUUGGCAAUAGCUGGUUGCCCGUUAAUGAAUCUAAGUUCACCCUUGGCCCUCACCAAUACCACAACAUCAGCCCAAGGAAAUUCACCAGGGGUACAGCCCUGAUGAAACAGGAUACAACCUGUAUACUGAGAGGACCCAAUUAAUACUCAUUCCGUAGGCCCUAAAGCAGCCGCCCAAAAAAAUCGCGUCAAAGCACACAAUUUUAAAAUACCAAAAAACCACCACACCUCCAGCAAAAACAUGAGCAACUCUAUCACGAUAGAAAAACCUAUGCUAAAACUAAUAAUAAGAGCCGCCUCUCCAGACAUACCCAUCAAUCAGAAAUAGACAUACUACUGAUAAUUAUCGGUAAAGGAAGAGGGGACUUAAUACCCGACCCUCUGCCACACCGUGACCCCAACACAGGAAUGUCAAAUAACGGAAAGAUAAAAAGCCAUAAAAGGAACUCGGCACCCACAGACUCCAACUGUUUACCAAAAACAUAGCCUUUAGCUAAACAAGUAUUAAAGGUGAUGCCUGCCCAGUGAGAGGAAUCUUCAACGGCCGCGGUACCCUAACCGUGCAAAGGUAGCAUAAUCACUUGUCCACUAACUACGGACUAGCAUGAAAGGCCUCAUGAGAGUCAAACUGUCUCUUAUGGCCCAUCAAUGAAACUGAUCUUACAGUCCAAAAGCUGUAAUAAGCCUAUAAGACGAGAAGACCCUGUGAAACUUCAACAACCCACUUAACUAUCAACUAAGUGGUACUUUCGGUUGGGGCGACCUUGGAACAAAGCAAAACUUCCAAACAUAGAGGCCUAACCCUCACCCACCAGGCCCACACGCCACAGUAUGAUCCAGUAAAACUGAUAAAUGAACUAAGCUACUCCAGGGAUAACAGCGCCAUCUUCUUCAAGAGCCCAUAUCAAAAAGAAGGUUUACGACCUCGAUGUUGGAUCAGGGCACCCAAGCGGCGCAGCCACUACUAAAGGUUCGUUUGUUCAACGAUUAAUAGC